GUCUACCACCAUGUCACCCUGAACAUGCCUGAACCUGUCUGAUCUCAGAAGCUAAGCAGGGUCAGGCCUGGUUAGUACUUGGAUGGGAGACCACCUAGGAAGACCAGGUGUUGUAGGCA
RNAcentral lists this ribosomal RNA (119 nucleotides) under Pteropus alecto (black flying fox). RNAcentral also lists the same sequence under 1 other name. The record is from RNAcentral. Lineage: Eukaryota; Metazoa; Chordata; Mammalia; Chiroptera; Pteropodidae.